ACUACGCUCGAAUAACAUGUUAUUCACCGUUUUGGUGAUAUUCACCCAAUAACAUGUUUUUCAACGUGUUAUUCCCAUACAUUUUUGACAGCCGAAUAUCACCUUCCUGAACAUGUUAUUCGCGAAUAACAUGAUACAACUGCUCGAAUUUGCUGCUCGAAUGUCAAAUUUCUGGCAACCCUGCGGAAAUUUGACAGAAAUGUCGUUUGGAAAGUUUGUUUUUGUUGUUGUUUUCCUUGACCGAAAAGGAAUCAGGAAGAUUGUGCUCCAAAAGUAGAAAUUUUUUGCAAAACUCUUCCGCGGUGGUUAUUCCGCAAAAUCGGAAAGAGCCGGUGAUGGACCCGCAAAUAUUGCGUCGGAAUAAAGGAAGCUCUAGUGGUGGCCGCAACGGAAGGGCUGUGAGUGUGGAAAAUUGCAAUGGGAAAGAAGGAAAUACUGAUAGAUCUGACCCGGAUAGCACGAUGAUGGACUGUCACACAUCGCGACACGGCCAUCAGCAGAACACCGCAAUUGCCGGAGGAACUUCUUCUAGAACCACGUCUAGAACCCACAUUUCAGCUCCAAACACUUUUCCGCACAGCAACAGAGCGCUGCGAUAAUGUUCUCCUGCGACUUGAGUUCACACAAAGUAUAUCAGCAGUCAGCACCCAGAUAGAGUUCCAAACACCAUUUUCGGCAUCUCCGUCUUCAAGAGCGGAAUGUUUGGUGAAAUUAGCAGCCAUAUGAGGGAGGCCUUCCGUGACGGUGACGCUUGCCUGUGACCAGAAGAUUUCCAAGCAGUCAAAUAAUAGGUGGAAUAUGAGUUUGCUAUCCGGAAGAUGUCCACCUAUCUAACUACCCAGUAAUCGUAGUUAUGUGUGUAUGUGUAGUUUAAAAAAUGUUCACUUCUAUCACAUGCCACAAAUAAGUGUAAUAUGAAGAAAAAACGUAAUGCACCAAGCAGAAUUCCAAAUAAAUAUUUUCAUUUUCUAUGA
Molecule: long non-coding RNA, 974 nt
Organism: Aedes albopictus (Asian tiger mosquito)
Lineage: Eukaryota; Metazoa; Arthropoda; Insecta; Diptera; Culicidae
Exons: 2
Source: RefSeq, a predicted model, not a curated record